RNAcentral lists this ribosomal RNA (254 nucleotides) under uncultured bacterium. RNAcentral's name for it is "partial 16S ribosomal RNA". It matches the Rfam family "Bacterial small subunit ribosomal RNA", at positions 79 to 334 of the family's 1533-position model. The record is from RNAcentral.
CUUUCUUUGCUGGCGACCGGCGCACGGGUGAGUAACACGUAUCCAACCUGCCCUUUACUCGGGGAUAGUCUUUCGAAAGAAAGAUUAAUACCCGAUAGUAUAAUGAUUCCGCAUGGUUUCAUUAUUAAAGGAUUCCGGUAAAGGAUGGGGAUGCGUUCCAUUAGGUUGUUGGUGAGGUAACGGCUCACCAAGCCUUCGAUGGAUAGGGGUUCUGAGAGGAAGGUCCCCCACAUUGGAACUGAGACACGGUCCAA